This 961-nucleotide ribosomal RNA is filed under the name uncultured bacterium. RNAcentral describes it as "bacterial SSU rRNA". It matches the Rfam family "Bacterial small subunit ribosomal RNA", at positions 9 to 973 of the family's 1533-position model. The record is from RNAcentral.
GAGUUUGAUCAUGGCUCAGAACGAACGCUGGCGGCGUGCUUAACACAUGCAAGUCGAGUGCGCGUGCCGUAGCAAUACGGUAUGGCGCACGGCGCACGGGUGCGUAACACGUGGGCAAUCUGCCCUCCGGUGGGGAAUAACCCCGCGAAAGCGGGGCUAAUUCCGCAUAACAUUCCCUGGACUCUGGUUCGGGGAUUCAAAGCAGCAAUGCGCCGGAGGAGGAGCCCGCGCCCGAUUAGCUAGUUGGUGAGGUGACGGCUCACCAAGGCAAUGAUCGGUAGCUGGUCUGAGAGGAUGGCCAGCCACACUGGAACUGAGACACGGUCCAGACUCCUACGGGAGGCAGCAGUGGGGAAUCUUGCGCAAUGGGCGAAAGCCUGACGCAGCGACGCCGCGUGGGGGAUGAAGCUUCUCGGAGUGUAAACCCCUUUCGACCGGGACGAAUGCCCGCAAGGGAGUGACGGUACCGGUAGAAGAAGCCCCGGCUAACUACGUGCCAGCAGCCGCGGUAAGACGUAGGGGGCCAGCGUUGUUCGGAAUUACUGGGUGUAAAGGGUUCGUAGGCGGUGUGGCAAGUCGGGAGUGAAAUUUCUGGGCUUAACCCAGAAGCUGCUUCCGAAACUGCUGUGCUAGAGUGCGGGAGAGGCGCGUGGAAUUGCAGGUGUAGCGGUGAAAUGCGUAGAUAUCUGCAGGAACACCCGUGGCGAAAGCGGCGCGCUGGACCGUUACUGACGCUGAGGAACGAAAGCUAGGGGAGCAAACAGGAUUAGAUACCCUGGUAGUCCUAGCCCUAAACGAUCAGGACUUGGGGUGCCUUCCGUUCGGAAGUCGUCCCGGAGCUAACGCGUUAAGUCCUGCACCUGGGGAGUACGGUCGCAAGACUGAAACUCAAAGGAAUUGACGGGGCCCGCACAAGCGGUGGAACAUGUGGUUCAAUUCGACGCCUACGCGAGGAACCUUA